RNAcentral lists this ribosomal RNA (397 nucleotides) under uncultured bacterium. Its description in RNAcentral is "partial 16S ribosomal RNA". It matches the Rfam family "Bacterial small subunit ribosomal RNA", at positions 523 to 918 of the family's 1533-position model. The record is from RNAcentral.
AUACGUAGGGGGCGAGCGUUGUCCGGAAUGAUUGGGCGUAAAGGGCGCGUAGGCGGCCCGGUAAGUCUGGAGUGAAAGUCCUGUUUUUAAGAUGGGAAUUGCUUUGGAUACUGUCGGGCUUGAGUGCAGGAGAGGUAAGUGGAAUUCCCAGUGUAGCGGUGAAAUGCGUAGAGAUUGGGAGGAACACCAGUGGCGAAGGCGACUUUCUGGACUGUAACUGACGCUGAGGCGCGAAAGUGUGGGGAGCAAACAGGAUUAGAUACCCUGGUAGUCCACGCUGUAAACGAUGAAUGCUAGGUGUAGGGGGUAUCGACCCCUUCUGUGCCGCAGUCAACACAAUAAGCAUUCCGCCUGGGGAGUACGGCCGCAAGGUUGAAACUUAAAGGAAUUGACGGGG